CCAGAAAUACUCUGUCUUCCUGCUUUGAGGACAGCUGAAGUCUCGCCACUUCUUCUGGAUGCUCUGACCAUCGGUAAGCCACCUCAGUCUCACCCUCCGCAGAAUGCAGGCCCACUCCGUUGCUGAAGGGCCUCCUCCUUGGGCCAGGGCGCCUGCUUCUGCCAGUGGCAUCAUCACCCCACUCCUCAGCCGCCAGUCAUCAGAGACACGGUCUGACUUUGUUACCCGGGCUGGAGUGCAGUGGUGCAAUCAUGGCUCACUGCAGCCUUAACCUCCUGGGCUAAGUGAUCCUCUCGCCAAGGCUAGGAUAAGUAGCUAGGACUACAGAUGCGCCCCAUCACGCCCAGCUAAUUUUACAACUUCUGUAGAGAUGGAGUGUUGCUGUGUUGCCCAGGCUGGUCUUGAAUUCCUGGGCUCAAGCGAUCCUCCUGUGUCCGGAAUUGGUGGGUUCUUGGUCUCACUGACUUCAAGAAUGAAGCCGCGGACCCUCGCGAGUCUGUAUCCACCAGCUACUCUUCCAGAUUCAUGAGGCAAGGCCUGCCUGCUCACCUGGCUGGCCCCAAGCACCUCUUCAACCUGUUGCCACCGUCCUGCCUUGCUGCCCUUCUCAGCUCAUCCAGCAGGGUCUCCAAGUCAUGGAAACAGAAGCACAUAUACACACAUGCUCAUAUGUACAUGCCCACAGCCACAUAAGCACACCGAGAAACACCAUCGCAGACAUGUUCUCGCAAGCACAUGCGCAUAACACACUCACUACCCCUCACGCGUAUACACAUUAAUACACACACUCAUGCACACUCAGUCUUACACACACAGACACACAGCCAUAACCACUGUUGUUGGUUGAAUUGUGCCCCCCCAUCCCCACCAAAAAGAUAAGUUGGAGUCCUAACCCCCAGUACCUGGGGAUGUGACCGUAGUUGGAAAUAGGGUGUUUGUAGAUGUAAUCAAAUUAAGAUGAGACCUUACUGGAUUAGAGUGGGCUUAAAUCCAGUGACUGGUGUCCUUAUAAGGAGAAAAAGAUUUGAAAACAGAGACAUGGAGACACAGAGCAGAAGGCCAUGUGAUGAUGGAGUCAGAGAUUGGAGUGAUGCAGCUACGAGCCGAGAAAUACCAAGGUGCUGGCAGCCCCCAGAAGCAAGGAGAGAGGCAAGGAACAAUCUCCAUCAGAGCCUCUGGAAGAAACAGACUCUGCCAACACCUUGAUUUCAGACUUUUGGCCUCCUUCACUGUGCGAGAAUACGUUUCUGUUGUUUUAAACUACUGAGUCACCAAGUCUGUGGUACUGUGUUAUGGCAGCCCCGGCAACAAAUCCAAUCAGACACACACACACACACACACACACACACACACACACACACACACGGCUGGCUCCAGGCUCAGUGAUGAGCUCAGAGGAGUUCCCCUUGGGAGCUGCUCUUUCUCUGUCUUCCUUCCUUAGUGAUUGGUCCAGUGGAUCCACAAAAGCUCAUGGCCCAGAGCAGGAGCCCAGUCAUUUUUAAUUCCUCUUCCCUGGAGUUCUUAACCAUGCGUUGCCCUCAAAAUCUGCUCUCAAGAUUUGGGUUGCCAUAUUUAGGAGCACCAGAAAACGUACAGGAAUGCUGUGUCUGCUUGCAUCAUAUUAAUUAAAAACUGGAAAUAACCUAAAUGUCCCAGAAUAGGUACAUAAACUGUGGCAUAUCCACUUAAUGGAAUACUACUCAGCAAUACAAAAGGAAAACCUAGUGUUACUUGAGCAACAUGGAUGAACUUCACAGACAUAAUAUUGCACAGCAUGAGGCAGACACAAAAGUGUGCAUAUGCUAUGAUUCCAUUUACAUGAGAUUCAAGAACAGGCAAAGCAGAUCUAUGGGGAUAGAAGUCAGAAUAGUGGUUACCUCUGGAAGGUGGAAUUGACUGGGAGGGGCUUCAGGGAACCUCCUGGGGUGCUGAAAACAUUCUGUGCUUGCACCGGGUGGUGGUUAUGUGGGCAUUACAUAAAAUUCACCAAGCUGCACCCUUAACGAUUUGUACAAUUUGAUGCACAAAUCUAACAUCUCAAUAAGAAAGAAAUUUUACAAAGUACCUAAGAAGCAAA
Molecule: long non-coding RNA, 2077 nt
Organism: Pan troglodytes (chimpanzee)
Lineage: Eukaryota; Metazoa; Chordata; Mammalia; Primates; Hominidae
Exons: 4
Source: RefSeq, a predicted model, not a curated record